Molecule: transfer RNA, 78 nt
Filed under: Crassvirales sp.
Lineage: Duplodnaviria; Heunggongvirae; Uroviricota; Caudoviricetes; Crassvirales
Description: tRNA-Met
Rfam family: tRNA
About the family: Transfer RNA (tRNA) molecules are approximately 80 nucleotides in length. Their secondary structure includes four short double-helical elements and three loops (D, anti-codon, and T loops).
Source: RNAcentral
UGCGGGAUGGACUGGAGAGGCACCAGCUCAGUCUCAUAAGCUGAAUCACGAGGGUUCGACUCCCUCUCCCGCUACUAA